CAGAGAGAGACAUGCGCGCAUAUCAAUAAGCGGAGGAAAAGAAACUAACUAGGAUUCCCUCAGUAACGGCGAGUGAAGCGGGAAGAGCUCAAAUUUGAAAUCUUCAAGGUUCUACCUUGACGAAUUGUAGUUUAAAGAAGUGUUUUCUGUUGGAGUUUUGGUAAAAGUUCUUUGGAAUAGGACAUCAUAGAGGGUGAGAAUCCCGUAUUUGACCAUUAUUUCCAGCUUUGUGAUACACUUUCAAAGAGUCGGAUUGUUUGGGAAUGCAGUCCAAAAUGGGUGGUAAAUUUCAUCUAAAGCUAAAUACUGGCGAGAGACCGAUAGCGAACAAGUACCGUGAGGGAAAGAUGAAAAGAACUUUGAAAAGAGAGUUAAACAGUACGUGAAAUUGUCAAAAGGGAAGCGUUUGACACCAGUGUUGUUUUCUCGAAAAUCAAUUAAAAAGAGCUAGAUUUUGUGUUGUAUUGACCUUUAAUCAGCUUUCUGCACUCAAUUUUCUUGUCUUUUUUAAUGCACUUUUCGUUUAACAAGUCAACAUCAAUUUCUUUUGUUGUAAAAGGGUCAUUGGAAGGUGGCUUUCUUUUCGGAGAAAGUGUUUAUAGCCUUUGGCCUCUGCAAUCGGAGAGGUUGAGGUCUGCAGCGUAGAUCCUUCGGGGUUAGAUACAUUUGUGCUAAGUUAUAGCCUUUCAUAGACAACUUGUUGACUAUGAUCAGUCAUGUAGCUUACUCGCUUAUGCUAUUUUACCUACGCUUAGGAUGUUGAUGUGAUACUGCGAGCA
RNAcentral lists this ribosomal RNA (779 nucleotides) under uncultured Neocallimastigales. Its description in RNAcentral is "partial large subunit ribosomal RNA". It matches the Rfam family "Eukaryotic large subunit ribosomal RNA", at positions 23 to 639 of the family's 3401-position model. The record is from RNAcentral. Lineage: Eukaryota; Fungi; Neocallimastigomycota; Neocallimastigomycetes; Neocallimastigales.